RNAcentral lists this microRNA precursor (61 nucleotides) under Bombyx mori (domestic silkworm). Its description in RNAcentral is "mir-2774 microRNA precursor family". It matches the Rfam family "mir-2774 microRNA precursor family". Lineage: Eukaryota; Metazoa; Arthropoda; Insecta; Lepidoptera; Bombycidae. The record is from Rfam by way of RNAcentral.
ACAACAUUCAGACCGUCGGUCUAUCGAGUAAUAGCUCGAUGGAAGAAUUUCUCUUUGUCGU